Molecule: unclassified non-coding RNA, 328 nt
Filed under: soil metagenome
Description: partial contains 5.8S ribosomal RNA, internal transcribed spacer 2, and large subunit ribosomal RNA
Rfam family: 5.8S ribosomal RNA (bases 1-120)
Source: RNAcentral
GAUGAAGAACGCAGUGAAAUGCGAUAAGUAAUGUGAAUUGCAGAAUUCAGUGAAUCAUCGAAUCUUUGAACGCACAUUGUGCCCCCUGGUAUUCCGGGGGGCAUGCCUGUUCGAGCGUCAUUUCAACCCUCAAGCUCUGCUUGGUAUUGAGUCCAUGUCAGCAAUGGCAGGCUCCAAAAUCAGUGGCGGCGCCGCUGGGUCCUGAACGUAGUAAUAUCUCUCGUUACAGGUGCUCGGCGUGCUUCUGCCAAAACCCCAAUUUUUCUAUGGUUGACCUCGGAUCAGGUAGGGAUACCCGCUGAACUUAAGCAUAUCAAUAAGCGGAGGA